Molecule: small RNA, 71 nt
Filed under: Spisula solidissima (Atlantic surf clam)
Lineage: Eukaryota; Metazoa; Mollusca; Bivalvia; Venerida; Mactridae
Source: RNAcentral
CCUCAUUCAGUGAAUUUUCCACAUGUAGGCUUUAAAGCCUUCAGUCCACUACUUAAAAUAAUCAUCAGACC